GUUCCGGUGGCCUAGUGGAUAGAGCGUCCGCCUCGGAUGCGAGAGGUCGUGGAUUUGAUACCCGGUCGAAUCA
This is a non-coding RNA of Potamilus streckersoni, 73 nucleotides long. Lineage: Eukaryota; Metazoa; Mollusca; Bivalvia; Unionida; Unionidae. The record is from the annotation of a GenBank genome assembly.